UGUGGGAGGGGGCUUGCCCCCGAUAGCGGUGUAUCAGUUACAGAUAUUCGACUGAAACACUGCCAUCGGGAGCAAGCCCCCUCCCACA
This 88-nucleotide unclassified non-coding RNA is filed under the name Pseudomonas synxantha. The record is from RNAcentral. Lineage: Bacteria; Pseudomonadati; Pseudomonadota; Gammaproteobacteria; Pseudomonadales; Pseudomonadaceae.